RNAcentral lists this ribosomal RNA (508 nucleotides) under uncultured eukaryote. Its description in RNAcentral is "SSU rRNA". It matches the Rfam family "Eukaryotic small subunit ribosomal RNA", at positions 44 to 555 of the family's 1831-position model. The record is from RNAcentral.
UUAAGCCAUGCUGUCUCAGUAUAAGCUUCUAUACGGCGAAACUGCGAAUGGCUCAUUAAAACAGUUAUAGUUUAUUUGGUGGUCAGCAAUUACAUGGAUAACCGUGGUAAUUCUAGAGCUAAUACAUGCGUCCAAACCCGACUUCGUGGAAGGGUUGUGUUUAUUAGAUACAGAACCAACCCAGGCUCCGCCUGGCCUUGAGGUGAUUCAUAAUAACCGAACGAAUCGCAUGGCUAUGCCGGCGAUAGACCAUUCAAGUUUCUGACCUAUCAGCUAUCGUCGGUAGGGUAUUGGCCUACCGUGGCAAUGACGGGUAACGGAGAAUUAGGGUUCGAUUCCGGAGAGGGAGCCUGAGAAACGGCUACCACAUCUAAGGAAGGCAGCAGGCGCGCAAAUUACCCAAUCCUGACGCAGGGAGGUAGUGACAAGAAAUAACAAUACAGGGCAUACAUGUCUUGUAAUUGGAAUGAGUAAACUUUAAAUCACUUUACGAGUAUCAAUUGGAGGG